RNAcentral lists this ribosomal RNA (437 nucleotides) under uncultured Oscillospiraceae bacterium. RNAcentral describes it as "partial 16S ribosomal RNA". It matches the Rfam family "Bacterial small subunit ribosomal RNA", at positions 341 to 792 of the family's 1533-position model. Lineage: Bacteria; Bacillati; Bacillota; Clostridia; Eubacteriales; Oscillospiraceae. The record is from RNAcentral.
ACGGAAGGCAGCAGUGGGGAAUAUUGGGCUAUGGGCGAAAGCCUGACCCAGCAACGCCGCGUGAAGGAAGAAGGUCUUCGGAUUGUAAACUUCUUUUAUCAGGGACGAAGGAAGUGACGGUACCUGAUGAAUAAGCCACGGCUAACUACGUGCCAGCAGCCGCGGUAAUACGUAGGUGGCAAGCGUUAUCCGGAUUUACUGGGUGUAAAGGGCGCGUAGGCGGGGAUGCAAGUCAGAUGUGAAAUCUAUGGGCUUAACUCAUAAACUGCAUUUGAAACUGCAUCUCUUGAGUGUCGGAGAGGUAGAUGGAAUUCCUAGUGUAGCGGUGAAAUGCGUAGAUAUUAGGAGGAACACCAGUGGCGAAGGCGAUCUACUGGACGAUAACUGACGCUGAGGCACGAAAGCAUGGGUAGCAAACAGGAUUAGAUACCCUGGUA